AGUUCUAUGGUGUAAUGGUUAGCACGCUGGACUCUGAAUCCAGCAAUCUGAGUUCUAAUCUCGGUAGGACAU
Molecule: transfer RNA, 72 nt
Filed under: Danionella translucida
Lineage: Eukaryota; Metazoa; Chordata; Actinopteri; Cypriniformes; Danionidae
Also listed under: 1 other name
Rfam family: tRNA
About the family: Transfer RNA (tRNA) molecules are approximately 80 nucleotides in length.
Source: Rfam by way of RNAcentral